AUUGAACGCUGGCGGCAUGCCUUACACAUGCAAGUCGAACGGUAACAGGUCUUCGGAUGCUGACGAGUGGCGAACGGGUGAGUAAUACAUCGGAACGUGCCCGCUCGUGGGGGAUAACGAGGCGAAAGCUUUGCUAAUACCGCAUACGAUCUACGGAUGAAAGCGGGGGAUCUUCGGACCUCGCGCGGAAGGAGCGGCCGAUGGCAGAUUAGGUAGUUGGUGGGAUAAAAGCUUACCAAGCGGACGAUCUGUAGCUGGUCUGAGAGGAUGAUCAGCCACACUGGGACUAAGACACGGCCCAGACUCCUACGGGAGGCAGCAGUGGGGAAUUUUGGACAAAGGGCGAAAGCCUGAUCCAGCCAUGCCGCGUGCAGGAUGAAGGCCUUUGGGUUGUAAACUGCUUUUGUACGGAACGAAAAGCCUCUUUCUAAUAAAGAGGGGUCAUGACGGUACCGUAAGAAUAAGCACCGGCUAACUACGUG
RNAcentral lists this ribosomal RNA (482 nucleotides) under uncultured bacterium. RNAcentral's name for it is "partial 16S ribosomal RNA". It matches the Rfam family "Bacterial small subunit ribosomal RNA", at positions 30 to 507 of the family's 1533-position model. The record is from RNAcentral.